This 521-nucleotide ribosomal RNA is filed under the name uncultured soil bacterium. RNAcentral's name for it is "bacterial SSU rRNA". It matches the Rfam family "Bacterial small subunit ribosomal RNA", at positions 8 to 524 of the family's 1533-position model. The record is from RNAcentral.
AGAGUUUGAUCCUGGCUCAGGAUUAACGCUAGCGGCAGGCCUAAUACAUGCAAGUCGAACGGCAGCACGGGUAGCAAUACCUGGUGGCGAGUGGCGCACGGGUGCGUAACACGUAUGCAAUCUACCUUUAACUGGGGAAUAACCCCUCGAAAGAGGGGCUAAUACCGCAUAACACUCCGGAGGGACAUCCCUCUGAAGUCAAAUCUACGGAGGUUAAAGAUGAACAUGCGUCCGAUUAGCUAGUUGGCGGGGUAACGGCCCACCAAGGCAACGAUCGGUAGGGGAUCUGAGAGGAUGAUCCCCCACACUGGUACUGAGACACGGACCAGACUCCUACGGGAGGCAGCAGUAAGGAAUAUUGGACAAUGGGCGCAAGCCUGAUCCAGCCAUGCCGCGUGCAGGAUGAAAGUGCUAUGCACUGUAAACUGCUUUUACCAGGGAAAAAACCCUCCGAUUCUUCGGAGGCUGAUUGUACUUGGAGAAUAAGGGACGGCUAACUUCGUGCCAGCAGCCGCGGUAAU